GUCUGAGCAGGAGAGCGAGGACGAGUCUGAGCAGGAGAGCGAGGACGAGUCUGAUCAGGAGAGCGGGGACGAGUCUCAGCAGGAGAGCGGGGACGAGUCUGAGCAGGAGAGCGAGGACGAGUCUGAG
Non-coding RNA from Penaeus vannamei (Pacific white shrimp), 127 nucleotides. NCBI's taxonomy places the organism in Eukaryota, Metazoa, Arthropoda, Malacostraca, Decapoda, Penaeidae. The record is from RefSeq and is a predicted model, not a curated record.